UACGUAGGGGGCAAGCGUUGUCCGGAAUCAUUGGGCGUAAAGAGCGUGUAGGCGGCCCGAUAAGUCCGCUGUGAAAGUCCAGGGCUCAACCCUGGGAUGCCGGUGGAUACUGUCGGGCUCGAGUCCGGAAGAGGAGUGUGGAAUUCCUGGUGUAGCGGUGAAAUGCUCAGAUAUCAGGAGGAACACCAAUGGCGAGGGCAGCACUCUGGGACGUGACUGACGCUGAGACGCGAAAGCGUGGGGAGCAAACAGG
Molecule: ribosomal RNA, 253 nt
Filed under: uncultured bacterium
Lineage: Bacteria
Description: partial 16S ribosomal RNA
Rfam family: Bacterial small subunit ribosomal RNA
Source: RNAcentral